GCGUUUAGUCAUACCACCCUGAACGCACUCCAUCUCAUCGGAUGUUGGAGUCUAAGCAGGGCUCAGCCUGGCUGCUGGUUGGAUGAGAGAGAUUCUGAUCCAGUAGCUCUGGAAUGGGACUCU
This 123-nucleotide ribosomal RNA is filed under the name Peromyscus maniculatus bairdii (prairie deer mouse). The record is from RNAcentral. Lineage: Eukaryota; Metazoa; Chordata; Mammalia; Rodentia; Cricetidae.